Molecule: long non-coding RNA, 806 nt
Organism: Acanthopagrus latus (yellowfin seabream)
Lineage: Eukaryota; Metazoa; Chordata; Actinopteri; Spariformes; Sparidae
Exons: 3
Source: RefSeq, a predicted model, not a curated record
GGAAAAGAAACGAAUCCAAUACAGCCCAGAAACCUGCAGCAUCUCAAUCAUCUGAAACUGAAAGCUGACAGGGACUCGGAGAGCAGCCCAGUGCAGCUGCUCCAGACAUUUUUUGCUAUGUAGCCAUCCCUACAUCUCUUGUGAGUGCAUCAUGAAAGACAAGAAUGGGACCGGUACCAGGGGUGCUGCAGAGCCUGAUCACAGGUGUAACGUACGUGGGGAUCUUUCUCCAUCAGGUGGACUAUGAAGUCUUUAGCUAGUGAAAAAGAAAGAAGUUGGAGAUCGAGAGCAGAAAAAUAGUAGAGACCCAAUCCAAGAGCCAGGACUGGGAAGAACAUCAACAUGGGAUCAUUGCUUUGGCUCGUGGGCUCAACAGCUGCAAUGUGGAAGGUAGGGAUCGGAAAAAUUAUUUAGUGGCUUAGAAAAUCCAGACAUCAUUUUCUCUGUAUAAGAAAGAGCUUUACUGGCUUUGGAAACAAACUCUUGCUUAAAAGUGUCUCUGUUGUACACAGGACUUGCUAAAGGUGAGAAGUGUCAGGUGUGUGAGUGGAUGUUAACAAGCCCCAGCUGAAUACUUCAGGUUGGGGAGUUUUUGCUGUAAGAUCAGAUCUGUGUGUAGCAAAGAGGAAAACUUGAUUGUUACAUGUACCAGAACCGUUGAGAACUGGUUCCAAUUCGUCUGAUCCAUUGGAAUCGUUUCAGAGCAAUUUCACAGCUUUAACCAUUGUUUUUCCUCUAGAUUGGCUCUGACUCUGUGUUAUAUCUACAUCAAUGUCAUGCUGAGAGGACUGGAGAAAAACAGCUUG